RNAcentral lists this ribosomal RNA (295 nucleotides) under uncultured bacterium. Its description in RNAcentral is "partial 16S ribosomal RNA". It matches the Rfam family "Bacterial small subunit ribosomal RNA", at positions 775 to 1067 of the family's 1533-position model. The record is from RNAcentral.
GGAUUAGAUACCCUGGUAGUCCACGCCGUAAACGAUGUGUACUAGAUAUUGGAGAUAUUGACUCUUCAGUGUCGUAGCUAACGCAAUAAGUACACCGCCUGGGAAGUACGGUCGCAAGACUAAAACUCAAAGGAAUUGACGGGGGCCCGCACAAGCGGUGGAUUAUGUGGUUUAAUUCGAAGCAACGCGCAGAACCUUACCUAGGCUUGAAAUCCCGAGAAGAUCGACCAAAAUUGAUUGUGCUCUUCGGAGAACUCGGUGACAGGCGCUGCAUGGCUGUCGUCAGCUCGUGCCG